UACGAAGGGGGCUAGCGUUGCUCGGAAUCACUGGGCGUAAAGCGCUCGUAGGCGGAUUGUUAAGUCGGGGGUGAAAUCCUGGAGCUCAACUCCAGAACUGCCUUCGAUACUGGCAAUCUUGAGUCCGGGAGAGGUGAGUGGAACUCCGAGUGUAGAGGUGAAAUUCGUAGAUAUUCGGAAGAACACCAGUGGCGAAGGCGGCUCACUGGCCCGGUACUGACGCUGAGGUGCGAAGGCUAGGGGAGCAAACGGG
RNAcentral lists this ribosomal RNA (253 nucleotides) under uncultured bacterium. Its description in RNAcentral is "partial 16S ribosomal RNA". It matches the Rfam family "Bacterial small subunit ribosomal RNA", at positions 524 to 776 of the family's 1533-position model. The record is from RNAcentral.